This 425-nucleotide ribosomal RNA is filed under the name uncultured bacterium. RNAcentral's name for it is "partial 16S ribosomal RNA". It matches the Rfam family "Bacterial small subunit ribosomal RNA", at positions 354 to 796 of the family's 1533-position model. The record is from RNAcentral.
GUGGGGAAUAUUGGGCAAUGGGCGAAAGCCUGACCCAGCAACGCCGCGUGAAGGAAGAAGGUUUUCGGAUCGUAAACUUCUAUCCUUGGUGAAGAUAAUGACGGUAGCCAAGAAGGAAGCCCCGGCUAACUACGUGCCAGCAGCCGCGGUAAUACGUAGGGGGCAAGCGUUGUCCGGAAUGAUUGGGCGUAAAGGGCGCGUAGGCGGCCUGGUAAGUCUGGAGUGAAAGUCCUGCUUUUAAGGUGGGAAUUGCUUUGGAGACUGUCGGGCUUGAGUGCAGGAGAGGUAAGUGGAAUUCCCGGUGUAGCGGUGAAAUGCGUAGAGAUCGGGAGGAACACCAGUGGCGAAGGCGACUUACUGGACUGUAACUGACGCUGAGGCGCGAAAGUGUGGGGAGCAAACAGGAUUAGAUACCCGAGUAGUCC